Long non-coding RNA from Mauremys mutica (yellowpond turtle), 688 nucleotides. RefSeq lists it as uncharacterized. The transcript is spliced from 6 exons. The record is from RefSeq and is a predicted model, not a curated record. Lineage: Eukaryota; Metazoa; Chordata; Testudines; Geoemydidae.
AGCUCAACAAAAGAAAGAAUACAGUCCUGGAAUGCCUGCUUCCUUUGAUGGCUAUAUAUGCAUCCGACGAAGUCUGAGCCUGUGCUGCACAAGCAGAGACACAUCACUUCAAAGAACUCCAGCUGAUACAAAGCCUGAAAAUUUCUAAGGCAUUACUCCUUUGAAGUCCUGCAAGACAUGUAUGUAACUGUGGUCAUCUCCUUGUCUCUCUUUUAAGGACUAAUCACUUUGGGGAGAGGAAGUCAUCACAUCAACAACCAGACCACUCCAGCCUUUGUCCUGGCCUCAUGCACCUGAAGAAGAACUGCUAGCAAGAAGUUCUGUGCCAGCAAUGUCAUCUGGCUCUUUGAUUGCAGUUCCAGCUCCAUUCCAUGAGAGUCUAGAAAAUUGAGAGCCGAAGAGUUUGAAACCUCCCCCUAACCUAAGAACCAGAAAGCAAUGAACUGUGAACAACAGAGAAUAAUGGAGAGUUCUGCUUCAAAACUGAGAGCAGGUGCCCCUUGAUGCUCCAUGAACUCUGCACAAACAUAAGGAACUGCUUAUGUGGAGGAGGUUGCAGAAUCAGGGCCUGAAUAUUUUUUUGCAUGUGGCUGCCCAGCUGAAGUGUUUUUGGCUGAAGACUUGCAGACACAUCAGGAAGAGAAAUGUACUUAAUUGUGAACAGAAACCUCACAUCACUAGAGACUGG